GAGGAUGCGAGCGUUAUCCGGAUUUAUUGGGUUUAAAGGGUGCGCAGGCGGAAAGGAAAGUCAGUUGUGAAAGUUUGCGGCUCAACCGUAAAAUUGCAGUUGAUACUGGGUUCCUUGAGUGCGGCAGAGGCAGGCGGAAUUCGUGGUGUAGCGGUGAAAUGCUUAGAUAUCACGAAGAACUCCGAUCGCGAAGGCAGCUUGCCGGACCGUAACUGACGCUGAUGCUCGAAAGUGCGGGUAUC
RNAcentral lists this ribosomal RNA (242 nucleotides) under uncultured bacterium. Its description in RNAcentral is "partial 16S ribosomal RNA". It matches the Rfam family "Bacterial small subunit ribosomal RNA", at positions 528 to 769 of the family's 1533-position model. The record is from RNAcentral.